UGUUUACAUUUGAAUUCUAGAUCACUUAGACAUUUGGAAAUAAACGUCCUUGAUUGUUAGCAGCAUUAAAUCAGUCUACACAGCUGACAUGGACAUUUUGAAAUUUUGUUUCUCUUUCUUCUUUCUGCUACACAGUUCAACAAUCGGAGAGGACACAGAUAGUGAAGCCCAGUGCCAAACGGCCCUGACAGACUGGCUGCUGAGGUACGGCGAGAAGACCUACUAUGACAGGCUUUCACGUGCCUUGCAUCACAUCGGCAGAACAGACAUCGCCACUGAAGUGGGGAAGAACAUCAACCAGGACAAAGCCUUGAGCCUGAAGCGCUAUGUUGAAGAUUAUCACAAAUAUGUCAACUCGUUAAACUUUGUUUCAGACACAAAACAGCAAAAGCGCGGACACCAGAGGGUCAGAAAAACAAAGGUUAGCGAUCUGACAUGGCGUGACCUGGAUCUGAUUGUGGAGCAGGUUCGCGUCCCUCCAUACCAGAAGGGGCCUUUGGAUGUGGCUCUGCCAGUAUUGUACGGUCUUCUGUUGGGCUUCGGGGGCACCUUGCUCAUAGGCACAGCUUUACUCCUCAUCAUUGUCCACAUUUCUCAUGGAAGGCCUCAGAACUGUCACUCCAGAGCCACCAGCAGUUCCAGCAGUAAAGUCAUGUGAUUUGGGGAGCUUCUGGGAUGUCAGAUGUAAACAUUUCAAAUAUCAAAAAUGAAAUAAGUGCACAAAAAUAAAAGCUGAAC
Molecule: long non-coding RNA, 738 nt
Organism: Oreochromis aureus
Lineage: Eukaryota; Metazoa; Chordata; Actinopteri; Cichliformes; Cichlidae
Source: Ensembl